AUUCAUCCGUGUGGGUUGGGGGUGAGUGUUUAAAAAGGAUAGAGGAAUCUGAGGAGAAGGGUAGGGGUGGAGGAGAGCCAGGAGGAAAAAGGGGGAGCUGGACGUGGGGGCUGCAAGUGUUUAAAAAGGAUAGAGGAAUCUGAGGAGAAGGGUAGGGGUGGAGGAGAGCCAGGAGGAAAAAGGGGGAGCUGGACGUGGGGGCUGCAGGGACGGGGGCGGCAGGCUCUGGAGGGCUCAGAUCCAAGGGAGCUGCUCUGAAAAACUGGGCAAACUAGCCAGAGACGGUUGUGUCCAGCUCGGCUCCAAAGAAAGUAAUUUUUGCCACUUGGAGGUGAGGAUGGGGGUGGAAGUGGGGAGUAGGCACAGAAGAGUAGCUGUCUGCAGGUUGUGCAGGAGGCCUAAGAGGGGUCUCCCUCCGGCCACCCCCUUGAGAAGCCCUGGAAGUUUUUUCACAGCCUCUCCAGCUGGCUGAAGGGUUGAGCGAUUCUCUCCGCAACAACUCCGGCUGUCCCUGCAGGAAAUACGGCUCUCUCUAACCCUGCUGACAGAUUUUACGGCCAGAUUAGAGAACAGCAGAAAACUUGGGUGUUAAAAGGGGCCAAGAGAACCUUCCUUCCCAGAGUCGCCGCUUCCCUGCCCCCCUGUUGUGCUGUGAAUCUUACUGUACAGAUAUUUCCCCCUCGACUUUGGCUGCUUAGCUAGGGGCUGAAAUCUCUAAGAGAGAAGGGAGGAGGACACCAAGCCAAGGUAGCCCUUAUUUUUCUUGAUUGCAAUUCCAAUUUCAAGCCAAAGCUCUGUUUUUCAAACUCAAGUUAAACUUUCUGACUUGGCCUGCCCCUCUCCUACUAGAUAAAUAAUCAGUCCACUCUACAUCUAGAGCCAAACAAGGCGCUUCAUCUAGUUACACCAUUCAGAAAAUGUUAUUCAGGGAAGAGGAAGAGAGAGAGAAAGAAAGAAAAACCCUUGAGCGUUAUUUGAUCCCAAACAAACUUUGUACGCUCUUAUGCCUUUAAAUUAUAGCUUGACCCAGUGCUAAAUUGCUUGCUGCUUGGAUGAGCCUAGUCCAGUUAAAAUCCUACUUGGUGGUGGUGUGGGGGGUGGGGUGAAGAAUUCAGGUUGCUUUUUUAUUGUUAUUUAUUGUUGCAUAAAGGCUAUAAUUACUAACCUUAGACUGCCAGGAUACAACAUAAAAAUGAAAAUCAGCCCUGGCUUUAAGGCUGAGGGCCUGGAACGAUUCUCACCGACACGCCCCCCACCCCCACCAUCUCUACCACCAAAUAUAUGCUCCUAAUUAAGCAAUGCUAGAGCAUCGCUUACAAUUAGAAUUAUGCAACUCUUCAGCAAGCAGCCAUCGCUUCUCUUUCAACGAAUUAGCUCCAUAUUUCAGCUUCCCUGUCUCCUAGCUCUUAUCGGCUCCAGCGAUGCGGCGGUGACAUUUCAUCUUUGACAGACCCUCUCUAUCCUCGCUCCAAUGUGAUAAAACUUUUAUGGAACCACGACUAAGAAAUGAAGUUUUCCCAAGGAUCGUGGAAACAGAGCGGCACAUUAGCCUGGGGACCAUUUUAUACCCAAUGGUGGUUGGGCUUCGGGUCACGUGACGACUUCUUUGUAGCUCCGGAAGAGAACUGUGAAGUUUAGGAGAAUUGCCAGGAAAGAAAAAUCAAGAUUUGGGGGAAUUAACCACAUAGAAGGAAGGUGUGUUAACUUGGGCGCUUCUUGGAUUCUACCCUGAGGAGGAGGCGCAUGAUCUUGAUCUGCCGCUCGCUGAGGUUCAGCAAGUUGGCCAUCUCCACGCGGCGCGGCCGGCACAGGUAGCGGUUGAAGUGGAACUCCUUCUCCAGCUCCACCAGCUGCGCGCUCGUGUACGCCGUCCGCGCCCGCUUGGAGGCCGCAGACCCCGGGGGGCUCUUGUCCCCUCCCCCGCCGCCACCCCCGCUGCCGCCACUGCCGCCGCCGCCUCCUCCGCCGCCGCCGCAGCCCUCC
Molecule: long non-coding RNA, 1983 nt
Organism: Capra hircus (goat)
Lineage: Eukaryota; Metazoa; Chordata; Mammalia; Artiodactyla; Bovidae
Exons: 5
Source: RefSeq, a predicted model, not a curated record